RNAcentral lists this ribosomal RNA (502 nucleotides) under uncultured bacterium. Its description in RNAcentral is "partial 16S ribosomal RNA". It matches the Rfam family "Bacterial small subunit ribosomal RNA", at positions 30 to 523 of the family's 1533-position model. The record is from RNAcentral.
AUUGAACGCUGGCGGCAUGCCUUACACAUGCAAGUCGAACGGCAGCAUAGGAGCUUGCUCCUGAUGGCGAGUGGCGAACGGGUGAGUAAUAUAUCGGAACGUGCCCUAGAGUGGGGGAUAACUAGUCGAAAGAUUAGCUAAUACCGCAUACGAUCUACGGAUGAGAGUGGGGGAGCGCAAGACCUCAUGCUCCUGGAGCGGCCGAUAUCUGAUUAGCUAGUUGGUGGGGUAAAAGCCUACCAAGGCGACGAUCAGUAGCUGGUCUGAGAGGACGACCAGCCACACUGGGACUGCGACACGGCCCAGACUCCUACGGGAGGCAGCAGUGGGGAAUUUUGGACAAUGGGGGCAACCCUGAUCCAGCAAUGCCGCGUGAGUGAAGAAGGCCUUCGGGUUGUAAAGCUCUUUUGUCAGGGAAGAAACGGUUCUGGAUAAUACCCAGAGCUAAUGACGGUACCUGAAGAAUAAGCACCGGCUAACUACGUGCCAGCCGCCGCCGUAA